Molecule: long non-coding RNA, 538 nt
Filed under: Lathyrus oleraceus (garden pea)
Lineage: Eukaryota; Viridiplantae; Streptophyta; Magnoliopsida; Fabales; Fabaceae
Description: Pisum sativum (pea) long non-coding RNA (PSAT_LNC002618)
Source: RNAcentral
GGUGAAAGCUGUAGGAACAAGUCUUCCGCUUCAACUCUGGGACUGUUGCCAUCUCUAUCAGUGAACAAGCUCUGGAAUGUACCUGAGAAAUGAUAUGCAUGCAGGGAUUAGUUUUUUGUUUUUUUCUUUUUCUUUUUUUUUUUGUAUCCUUUUUUUAUUGCGUUUCUUUUGAAAAAUAAAUAUGCUAUGAUGCAAAUGAUGCAGACACGACUGGUUGGCUGUGUCUAUCGGAACACAGGAUCAAAGCUUCGGCUUGAACUCGGAACCACAAAUUCAUCUGAAACCCAAAGUCAUCUGAGACCCCAAAUUUCUGAACCAAUAGUCACCAACAGGAUCACAAGUCACCAACAAGUCACCAACAAGUCACCAACUGUACCUGUAAUAAUGAUAAUUCCCUCCCCACUCACGGGUGUCAUCUAGGCCAGGGUAAAGGCUGAGAGAAACGCAGCAUAAAUAACCUUUCGCAGAACAUCAUCAUAUACACACCCGAAGUAUGUAACGAUAAUGUCCCACCAGGGUCUGAACUGCUCGUGAUAUC